ACCCGUUUAUCCUGCGGGAGGUUGCGGCUAUCAGAAUCCGGCUAAGGCAUGCAAGUCUACUCUGCUUUCGGGUGGGGUGGCGAACUGCUCAGUAACACGUCGAUAACCUGCCUUUGCGUCUGGCAUAACCUUGGGAAACUGAGGCUAAUACCGGAUAAGGAUUGGACACUGGAAUGUUCCAUUCUUUAAAGCUUCGGCGCGCAAAGAUGGGUCGGCGGCGGAUUAGGCUGUUGGUGAGGUAAUGGCUCACCAAAACCGAAGAUCCGUAAGGGCCUUGAGAGAGGUUGCCCUGAGAAGGACACUGAGAUACUGGUCCUAGCCCUAAGGGGUGCAGCAGCCGCGAAACCUUUACAAUGCACGCAAGUGUGAUAAGGGAUUCUGAGUGCUCAUACAUUGUAUGGGCUUUCCUCAAGAGUAAAGAUCUUGAGGAAUAAGUGGUGGGUAAGACCGGUGCCAGCCGCCGCGGUAAUCCCGGCGCCACGAGUCGCAAUCACGUUUAUUGGGUCUAAAGCAUCCGUAGCCGGUUUGCUAAAUUUCCUGUGAAAUUGUCAGGCUUAACUUGACACCGUGCAGGGAACACUAGCAGACUUGGGACCGGGAGAGGUAGAAGGUAUUCUGGGGGGAGCGGUAAAAUGUUAUAAUCCCCGGAGGACCGCCAAUGGCGAAGGCAUUCUACCAGAACGGAUCCGACGGUGAGGGAUGAAAGCUAGGGGAGCGAUCCGGAUUAGAUACCCGAGUAGUCCUAGCCGUAAACGCUGCCAGCCAGAUGUUGCAUGUUCUUCGGGAAUAUGCAGUGUCGAACCGAAGGGGUUAAGCUGGCCACCUGGGAAGUACGGUCGCAAGGCUGAAACUUAAAGGAAUUGGCGGGGGAGCACUACAAGGGGUGCGGCGUGCGGUUUAAUUGAAUUCAACGUCGAGAACCUCACCAGGGGCGACGGCACAGUGAAGGUCAGUCUGAAGGGCUUACCUGAGGAGCCGAGAGGUGUUGUAUGGUCACCGUCAGCUCGUGCCGUGAGGUGUCCUGUUAAGUCAGGCAACGAGCGAGACCUGUAUCUCUAGUUGCUAACGUGUCAUUCGUGAUGAGCGAGCACACUAGAGGGACUGCCUUCGAAAGGAGGAGGAAGGUGCAGGCUACGGUAGAUCUGUAUGGCCCGAAUCUCCUGGGCUACACGCGCGCAACAAUGGUAGGGACAAUGGGACGCGACUCCGAAAGGAGGAGCCAAACCUCGAAACCCUACCCUAGUUCAGAUUGAGGGUUGCAACUCACCCUCAUGACGCUGGAAUCCCUAGUAAUCAGACGUUAGCAUCGUCCGGUGAAUAUGUCCCUGCUCCUUGCACACACCGCCCGUCAAAUCAUCCGAGCAGGGUCUGGGUGAGUGCUGGCACUUCGUGUCAGUCCGAACCUAGGUUCAGUGAGGAGGGUUAAGUCGUCACAAGGUA
RNAcentral lists this ribosomal RNA (1440 nucleotides) under metagenome. RNAcentral describes it as "bacterial SSU rRNA". It matches the Rfam family "Archaeal small subunit ribosomal RNA". The record is from RNAcentral.